GUGCCUAAUACAUGCAAGUAGAACGCUGAAGCUUGGUGCUUGCACCGAGCGGAUGAGUUGCGAACGGGUGAGUAACGCGUAGGUAACCUGCCUCUUAGCGGGGGAUAACUAUUGGAAACGAUAGCUAAUACCGCAUAAAAGUCGACAUUGCAUGAUGUUGACUUGAAAGGUGCAAUUGCAUCACUAAGAGAUGGACCUGCGUUGUAUUAGCUAGUUGGUGAGGUAACGGCUCACCAAGGCAACGAUACAUAGCCGACCUGAGAGGGUGAUCGGCCACACUGGGACUGAGACACGGCCCAGACUCCUACGGGAGGCAGCAGUAGGGAAUCUUCGGCAAUGGGGGCAACCCUGACCGAGCAACGCCGCGUGAGUGAAGAAGGUUUUCGGAUCGUAAAGCUCUGUUGUAAGAGAAGAACGAGUGUGAGAGUGGAAAGUUCACACUGUGACGGUAACUUACCAGAAAGGGACGGCUAACUACGUGCCAGCAGCCGCGGUAAUACGUAGGUCCCGAGCGUUAUCCGGAUUUAUUGGGCGUAAAGCGAGCGCAGGCGGUUAGAUAAGUCUGAAGUUAAAGGCUGUGGCUUAACCAUAGUACGCUUUGGAAACUGUUUAACUUGAGUGCAGAAGGGGAGAGUGGAAUUCCAUGUGUAGCGGUGAAAUGCGUAGAUAUAUGGAGGAACACCGGUGGCGAAAGCGGCUCUCUGGUCUGUAACUGACGCUGAGGCU
RNAcentral lists this ribosomal RNA (726 nucleotides) under uncultured Bacilli bacterium. Its description in RNAcentral is "bacterial SSU rRNA". It matches the Rfam family "Bacterial small subunit ribosomal RNA", at positions 44 to 753 of the family's 1533-position model. Lineage: Bacteria; Bacillati; Bacillota; Bacilli. The record is from RNAcentral.